This is a long non-coding RNA of Tachysurus fulvidraco (yellow catfish), 610 nucleotides long. RefSeq lists it as uncharacterized. Lineage: Eukaryota; Metazoa; Chordata; Actinopteri; Siluriformes; Bagridae. The record is from RefSeq and is a predicted model, not a curated record. The transcript has 3 exons.
UCCUGACAGAAACCGGAAGUAGUGCUAUCACUAUGGGGACUGGGGAUGACAAGAAGUUGGCGGUUUCUUUAGUCAGACAUUCUUACUGGUUCGACUUUUGGGUUUUUAUGUUGUUCGACGUCGCAUUUUUUCUCUUCGUGUACUUCGUUGUUCCAUAAACGGUUGCUGAAAUCAGGGCAUGAUGGAAGGACCCAAGACUGUGGAUCAUCUGCAGAAGAGAUGACUGUUGUCUGAUGGCUGGGUCCUGGAUGUGUGGGUUCAGCUGAUCUCUUGCUAACCUUUUACCAACGAAUCCAGUUCCUGCCCUGUUCAGCACACCGGCGCUUUAAAACAUACCACUAACAUUCCUUUCCAGACCAUAAUGCCUCUCCAGAACCUCGAUUAACAUGAAAUCAAUCCGGGCUAAGUUAUUUUUUGUAUAUUUCACCUGUUACCAAUUAGAACAUUUGUUUGUGUGUGUGUGUGAGAGAGCAGAUGGAGCGUUAUCAGUGUGAAUGAGUGAUAGAAUUGUACUGAAAAUAAAAUAAUUAUUGGAAAUGGAAAGGAUCUUCUUUCAUAUAAAAUAUUGUAUUCACAGUGCUAGACAAAUUACAUGGUGUCUCAAAAAUCA